AUGCUCUCUUCAGUAGUACGUAUACUAAAAUUAGAAGCAUACAGAGAAGAUUAGCAUGGCCCCUGCACAAGGAUAACAUGCAAAUUCAUGAAGCGUUCCAUAUAAAU
Dipodomys ordii (Ord's kangaroo rat) is the source of this 107-nucleotide small nuclear RNA. Lineage: Eukaryota; Metazoa; Chordata; Mammalia; Rodentia; Heteromyidae. The record is from Ensembl.